This 46-nucleotide ribosomal RNA is filed under the name Ampelomyces humuli. RNAcentral describes it as "partial small subunit ribosomal RNA". Lineage: Eukaryota; Fungi; Ascomycota; Dothideomycetes; Pleosporales; Phaeosphaeriaceae. The record is from RNAcentral.
AAAAGUGUCCAAGGUUUCCGUAGGUGAACCUGCGGAAGGAUCAUUA